Molecule: ribosomal RNA, 489 nt
Filed under: uncultured bacterium
Lineage: Bacteria
Description: partial 16S ribosomal RNA
Rfam family: Bacterial small subunit ribosomal RNA
Source: RNAcentral
AAUGAACGCUGGCGGCAUGCCUUACACAUGCAAGUCGAACGGCAGCAUGACCUAGCUUGCUAGGUUGAUGGCGAGUGGCGAACGGGUGAGUAAUGCAUCGGAACGUGCCUUUUAGUGGGGGAUAACGUAGCGAAAGUUACGCUAAUACCGCAUAUUCUCUGAGGAGGAAAGCAGGGGACCUUCGGGCCUUGCGCUAGAAGAGCGGCCGAUGUCGGAUUAGCUAGUUGGUGAGGUAAAGGCUCACCAAGGCAACGAUCCGUAGCGGGUCUGAGAGGAUGAUCCGCCACACUGGGACUGAGACACGGCCCAGACUCCUACGGGAGGCAGCAGUGGGGAAUUUUGGACAAUGGGCGCAAGCCUGAUCCAGCCAUGCCGCGUGAGUGAAGAAGGCCUGCGGGUUGUAAAGCUCUUUCGGCUGGGAAGAAAUCGCACCCUCUAAUACAGGGUGUGGAUGACGGUACCAGCAUAAGAAGCACCGGCGAACUACGG